This is a long non-coding RNA of Crotalus tigris (Tiger rattlesnake), 694 nucleotides long. RefSeq lists it as uncharacterized. Lineage: Eukaryota; Metazoa; Chordata; Lepidosauria; Squamata; Viperidae. The record is from RefSeq and is a predicted model, not a curated record. The transcript has 3 exons.
AUUUUCGUUUUGCAGCUGUGGAAAACUACAUUUGGUUUUUUUCCCUUGUCUCUCAUGCUUUUAAAGCCUAACCACACCCUCUUCUUCCAGACGGAAAGACUGUUAUUUCAAACAUUCUUGCUUUGCUUUUGAAGCUGGACACUAGUUGCCAAACAGUGUUUGGCGAGAUCUUUUCCGCGUGCCCUCUGGGAGGAGUUCUCUGUUAUAUCAACCCCAACAGAUUUGAAAGCUGAGCAACAGGACCGGGCUCCAUUUGGGAACUGAGAAUCUACUGCUGAGCAGACAGCAAGACAUCGCCCGAGAGGCAGAAAACAUGUUUAAAUUUAUUCCUUUUGAUGAUCCAGUUAAUACAAAAGGACAGGCUGUUGUGGAUCAGGUGACAAAAGCUGGUCAGAAAGAAGAUACUGGCAAAAAAGCAGUGCAAAAUGUAACAAGUCAGGCAACAGCGUCGGGUAAAAAGGACGAAGAAAAAAAGAACAAAGAAAAGAAGUAAAACAUUUCAACCUAAAUGGGCUGAUCUUCCUUUUGGUUUGCCCAGAAUGUUUGAAAUGAUCCAACCAUGUCUUUAUGCAUUGGAAAUUUAUCUUCCCAUAACUACCCUAUUAGAUGUACUUUACAUACCUUCACUGAAGGUUAAACUAUAUAUUGCAUAAAUGUUGUUGCAGUAUCAAACAUUAAAUAAUUUCAAAGUGAA